This 439-nucleotide ribosomal RNA is filed under the name uncultured bacterium. RNAcentral's name for it is "bacterial SSU rRNA". It matches the Rfam family "Bacterial small subunit ribosomal RNA", at positions 338 to 795 of the family's 1533-position model. The record is from RNAcentral.
CCUACGGGGGGCAGCAGUGGGGGAUAUUGCACAAUGGAGGAAACUCUGAUGCAGCGACGCCGCGUGAGGGAAGACGGUCUUCGGAUUGUAAACCUCUGUCUUUGGGGAAGAAAAUGACGGUACCCAAAGAGGAAGCUCCGGCUAACUACGUGCCAGCAGCCGCGGUAAUACGUAGGGAGCGAGCGUUGUCCGGAAUUACUGGGUGUAAAGGGAGCGUAGGCGGGCGAGAAAGUUGAAUGUUAAAUCUACCGGCUUAACUGGUAGCUGCGUUCAAAACUUCUUGUCUUGAGUGAAGUAGAGGCAGGCGGAAUUCCUAGUGUAGCGGUGAAAUGCGUAGAUAUUAGGAGGAACACCAGUGGCGAAGGCGGCCUGCUGGGCUUUAACUGACGCUGAGGCUCGAAAGCGUGGGGAGCAAACAGGAUUAGAUACCCCAGUAGUC